RNAcentral lists this unclassified non-coding RNA (368 nucleotides) under Hevea brasiliensis (rubber tree). The record is from RNAcentral. Lineage: Eukaryota; Viridiplantae; Streptophyta; Magnoliopsida; Malpighiales; Euphorbiaceae.
AUGUUAUCGAGCCACAAAUUCUAUAAUGCAUAGUUGUAACUUGGAGCCAUUUAUAGUUUCUUUUGAUAUUUCUUCAUUUGAAUUAGAAAUCAAGAAGCUCCAUAGUAUAUUUGCGUCAAAAAUCAUUAAUAUUUGGAGAAAAAGUCACCCUGCUUUUGAAGUUGCCAAAUUAUGAUAUCUUUUACUUUCUUAUUAAUUGAUAUUAAACAGAAUGAAAUACAAAUUGGGUAGGUUUGUAUGGGUGGUUUUUGUGGUGCUCAAAUAAAUGUUGAGUUCUUGAUUCCAGUAUAGAGUGUCCCUAUGACUUGUGUCCAUAUGCAUGUCAAGGAAUUUUCUGAUAAAAUUCCUAGAGAAACUUGAAGAUUUUG